AGGCGAUCCCAAAUUAUUCCAGCCAGAAGAAAAACAAGACAAUACUUUGGAGCUUGAAAGGAAACAAGGGAAGGUGGUUAAAAUGUGAUCCUAACUAAGGACCCACCCUGCUAAUCACCCAAGUGAGAUCAGCCAACUCUGCUGUGCAGUUUCCCCCUUCUCCUCUCCUGGUACCUGCAGGUUGGGGGCAGUUCUCAACCUAUCAUGCUUUCUAUUUCCCUGCAGCUUUCCUUUUUUUUUUUUUUUUUUUGUCUUUUUAGGGCCACACCAGUGGCAUAUGGAGUUUCCCAGGCUAGGGGUCAAAUCUGGGGCUGUAGCUGCUGGCCUACACCACAGCUAUGGCAAGGCCAGAUCCGAGCCACAUCUGCGACCUCCACCACGGCUCAUGGCAAUGCCAGAUCCUUAACCCACUGAGCGAGGCCAGGAAUCGAACCUGCAUCCUCAUGUUUCCUAGUCGGAUUCAAUUCCACUGCGCCAGGAUGGUAACUCCCACAGCAGCAGCUUUCAUAGCAGCUCUUUUGGCGAUUAAAAUGCUACAAGCUAUAAUUCGGAAGACUGCAAAACGGAAGACCAGUACCAGGUUUCUUAGUAACUGAGGGACUCAGCCUGAAGUUUACUACUGGGGACUGUUUGCUCUACAGCAUACAGGCCGGAGGGGCGAAAUGGGAGGGCAAAGGGGUCGUUUCCUUUUCACUCUGUAACUAAUUGAUUUGCCCUCGUGCGCCUCAAGAUGACACUCAUUGAUGGUCUGUGCAGUAUGGCCUACGCUAUUUUGCAGCUGUGCUGGGCAUAUUACAUCAAGUUCCUUACUCCCUGAUGUAGCACGCACCAUCUUGCAAAGGCCUAGAAGCUCCGCGCUCGGAAAACGUGCGCUGGGAAGCAAAGCCGGAAGAGUGCGGCCGCAGCGGCGCUGCUCGCCGAAGUCCAAUCAGAGAAGAUCCCAUCAAGGGAGGGGAGCCUUACAAAGUGUUAAAAAGGGCUUUAACUGGGUGGGUCGCUCCAGUGCGUCUACAGGACUCGGGGAAGGAGGGAGGCAGUUCUUGGUCAUCAGGCGUCCCUUGCUCAUUAGGAGACCCUUGCUCGUCAGGAGACGCAUCCUAGUCAUGUCUUCAAAGGGUGAGUCCUUGGCGGAGUUCCAUGGUGGCUCAGCGGGUUAAGGGCGUGGUAUUGUCACUUCUGUGGCCCUGGUUACAACUGUGGCAUGGGGUCCAUCUCUGGCCCGGGGAACACUGACAUAGCCAAAAAUGAAAAGAAAAAAAAAAAGUGAAUCCUUAGCAGGAGGGCCUGCGUGGGCAACGGGCCAAUGGUAGGUGAGGCUGGGCAGCGGGUCUGGGCAGGGCUUACCUGGAGUGAAUUGAAAUUUUCUGUUUGCUGUGACAUUUGGUGCUGAGACUUGGAAAGGGGAAAGCUAACCAAACCAGACCCUAAAACGGCCUUGGAGAAGGAGCUCAGGGUGGCCUUUGUCACCGGUGGCGGUACAGUGCAUUUUCUUUUUUUUUUUUUUUUUUUUUUGCCAUUUCUUGGACCCCCCCCCCCCCGCGGCAUAUGGAGGUUCCCAGGCUAGGGGUCCAAUCGGAGCAGUAGCCACUGGCCUACACCAGAGUCACAGCAACGCAGGAUCUGAGCCGCUCUGCAACCUACACCACAGCUCGCGGCAACGCCAGAUCCUUAACCCAGGGAUCGAACCCGCAACCUCAUGGUUCCCAGUCGGAUUCGUUAACCACUGCGCCACGACGGGAACUCCAUGCAUUUUCAAUUCACAACCUUGCUUGGCCUGGUAUUUUGCUCAUUUUUUCAUCAUGAAGUCAAUUCCAUUGAGGGCUGAGCCAGUGGCGAGUCCAUCUUGGGGGCCCAAGUCUAAGACUGAGGGCGGGGGAGCUUCUUCAGAUCACAACGGGAAAUGCAAAUGUUAAUGUAUAGAAAUUCCCAGAUGUUAGAUUUUUCUUAGAUGACAUUUCCUCGUAUUCGUUUAUUUAUUUAUUUUUAUUUCCUGGUUGUAGUUUUUGACAUCUCCUAAUAUGUGUGUUUGGGGUCCUUGUUUAGGUGGCAGAUACAUGUUUGUAGGGUCUUGACCCAUCUGGGCAUACCCAAUACCCAGGCCAGUAUCUGGACCUGUGCAUUGAGUUGUAAUUAUAGUUUAUAUGGCAGAUGCCCCCAAAAGGUGUUCAGGGUGCAUUGACUUCUGCGGUGUCUGAAAGACAUGUGGCUGGGAGCCCUGAGUUGGGAGCCGGUUCUGCCUCCAUAUUUCAUGAGAUUCCUGGGGCAGGGCACGGUGGGGGGGGGGGGGACCAGCAGCCAAAUAUUCGGAGCAGUCCUGGGAGAGCUCUGCAAAGGGGCCUAAGCUUUAUGCCUGGAAACAAAAUCCUUGUCGGAAGGCUGCAGGUUCUACACUGACCUGAACUUCCAGGAGCAAGUCAGAAGGGUGCGUGGAGGUGGAUAGGUCAAGUGUGAACCUAAAUGUGAGGCCUGAGACCAAAGUCUCUUUUCUUAUUCUCUAUCUGUCGCAGAGCCCCAAGAUGGCCCAGAGCCCCAAGAUGGCCCAGAGCUUCAAGAUGGCCCAGAGCCCCAAGAUGGCCCAGAGCCCCAAGAUGGCCCAGAGCCCCAAGAUGGCCCAGAGCUUCAAGAUGGCCCAGAGCCCCAAGAUGGCCCAGAGCCCCAAGAUGGCCCAGAGCCCCAACAAGGCCGGAGGCGCAAGAGAACCAGGUUCAACAAGAACCAAUACAAGAUUCUUAUUGAUGCCUUUGAAGCUGACGCUUACCCUGAUAUUAAUGUCCGAGUAGAACUCGCAAAUCAAAUACAAAUUCCUGAGCCAAGAAUCCAGGUAAAAGCAUAAAUCUGUGCUCUUCCAGAGGAGGGUGGAUCUGGGUGAGGAAUCAAUGCAUGUAUUUUAAUACUGGCUUAAGAAACUCUUAAUCCUCUUAAUAUCCAUGCAAGGUGGGCAUUAUCAUCCCCAUUUACCGGAUUAGGAAAACAAAGGUGUCGUAAUUUAGGUUACUACUUUGGCAAGGGGUAGAGUCUAAACUGGCUUCUAUGGGUUAUACUGUCAAAUAUUUACUAUAUUAGACUUUGAAACUGAGAAACUUCAAAAUAUUUGCUAAUUUAUUAAAAAUAACAAUAAUAAACUCAUUGCUUGUUAAUUUAAGUAACUAUCUUUCAAGAAAAGCAACCACAGGAAUUCCUGUUGUAGCUCAGCAGGUUACAAGCCUGACUAUUAUUCAUGAGGACAUAAGUUCCAUCCUUGGCCUCACUCGGUGAGUUAAGGAUCCGGCGUUGCCGUGAGCUAUGGUGUAGGUUGCAGACUCAGCUCAGAUCCUGUGUUACUGUGGCUGUGGUGUAGGCUGGCAGCUGCAGCUCCAAUU
RNAcentral lists this long non-coding RNA (3359 nucleotides) under Sus scrofa (pig). Its description in RNAcentral is "lncRNA (ENSSSCG00000049664.1)". The record is from RNAcentral. Lineage: Eukaryota; Metazoa; Chordata; Mammalia; Artiodactyla; Suidae.